This 657-nucleotide long non-coding RNA is filed under the name Brachypodium distachyon (stiff brome). RNAcentral's name for it is "long non-coding RNA (BDIS_LNC005761)". Lineage: Eukaryota; Viridiplantae; Streptophyta; Magnoliopsida; Poales; Poaceae. The record is from RNAcentral.
GCCAACGUACAAGCCGGCACCCAAGCCCACUCCUCCCACGUAUAAGCCCACACCCAAGCCCUCGCCGCCGACGUACCCGCCGAAGCCAACACCACCCACCUACAAGCCGGCGCCGAAGCCGACUCCCCCGACCUACAAGCCGGCGCCGAAGCCGACACCGCCCACCUACAAGCCCGCGCCGAAGCCGACGCCCCCGACCUACAAGCCGGACCCCAAGCCGACUCCCCCGACGUACAAGCCCGCGCCGAAGCCGGCCCCCAAGCCUACGCCCCCGAACUACAAGCCGGCGCCGAAGCCGACGCCGCCGUCGUACAAGCCGGCCCCGAAGCCCACUCCCCCGGCACCGAAGCCCACGCCGCCGACACCACCAGCCUACAAGCCGGCGCCGAAGCCGAGCCCUCCGACGCCCGCCCCGCCGGCGUACAAGCCUCCGACUCCGACUCCUCCGGCGUACAAGACCCCCACUCCGAGCCCGCCGCCGCCGCCCUACCACCACUAAGAUCCAUCACUCUCUUUAGUUGGGAGCACAGGUGAGCAAUGCGGCAAUCUCAGUCUAUGCAUGCAUGAUGCAUGCAUGAAACGCAGACUGUAUCUACAUUUCCCUUUCAAAGUGCAAAGGACGAAACUUAAGACGUGAUUACUUGUGUUUUGCAGAAU